AAUUUUUGUUGACAAUAAAUUUGCAAUUGUGUACAGCAGCAUAGAACCGAGGUGCACCCCACGGGUAACCCUGUUGAACGCAGAUACAAGAGAGAGAUUGUUGUUGUUGUUGUUGUUUCUUUCUUUCUAAAUCUUCAUUGUUUGAAAAAAAAAAAAGAGAGAGAAGAAAAAGACGAAAUUGGAUUGAGUUGAGAGUAGAAGAUGACAGAGGUAUCGAUGUGUAGCAGCAGCGUCUCUGAGCUGAGUCCAGACGAGGAGAGGAUCAUGAUCAGAGACAUUGCUCUCGCUUCCCAAGCUAACAGCAAAGAAGGCGACACCUUCUUCUUAAUCACUCAGAGAUGGUGGCAACAUUGGAUUGAAUAUGUGAACCAAGACCAGACAAACACUAUGUAUGAUGGAUCUUCCUUAUCAGAACAUUAUGAUUUGGCCAAUUCAAGUGCUUUAAAGAGGCCAGCUGGUAUUGAUAAUUCUGAUUUGAUAGAUGAUGCUGUGUCAGAGGACUCUAGUAUGGGUAUUGAGAUUCAUGAUACUCUUUUAGAAGGUCGUGACUAUGUAUUACUUCCCCAAGAAGUUUGGAACCAAUUAUUUAGAUGGUAUGGUGGUGGACCUACAUUGGCAAGGAAAGUUAUUAGUUCAGGUCUUUCCCAGACUGAAUUGACAGUAGAGGUGUAUCCUUUACGGCUUCAAUUACUUAUGUUGCCAAAAAAUGAUCGUUUUGCUAUAAGAAUAAGCAAGAAGGAAACCAUUGGACAGCUUCACAGAAAAGCUUGUGAAAUAUUUGAUCUUCAGCCAGACCAAGUGUGUAUUUGGGACUACUAUGCCCGUCGGAAGCAUGCUUUGAUGAAUGACAUGGACAAAACUCUCGAUGAUGCUAAUUUACAAAUGGACCAAGAUAUUCUUGUUGAAGUCAUCAACAAUACAAACAACACAAAUAUUUCUCAAGAAAAUGGGUCUGCACAGAGGGAAGCGAAUUCUGUUCUUGUGGAGCCUUCAAAAUCAAUCUUAUCAAUUGCUGGUGGCUUAUCUGCUAGCAAAGGUUCUGCAUCUAAAGGCUACAACAUGGACCUUUCUUCAUCUCAGAACCUAAAUUCCCCAGUUAGAGAUGUGGAAAACCCUUAUGGAACCAGUGGUGUCACCACAAGGGGUUCAUUUGGUAGUCUCACUGGGUUGCUGAAUCUUGGCAAUACUUGUUACAUGAAUAGUGCGAUUCAGUGCCUUGUUCAUACACCGGAAUUUGCUAGGUACUUCAGGGAAGACUAUCAUCAAGAAAUAAAUUGGCAAAAUCCAUUAGGCAUGGUUGGUGAACUAGCCCUGGCAUUUGGUGAUUUGCUUCGAAAACUAUGGGCACCUGGGAGAACACCAAUCGCUCCUCGGCCUUUUAAAGCAAAGCUUGUUCGCUUUGCACCUCAGUUCAGUGGGCACAAUCAACAUGAUUCUCAGGAGCUUUUAGCAUUUCUUCUGGAUGGUCUUCAUGAAGACUUGAAUCGUGUAAAGCACAAACCAUAUAUAAAGUCUCGAGAUGCUGAUGGACGACCUGAUGAAGAAGUGGCUGAUGAAUAUUGGGCAAAUCAUAUUGCUCGCAAUGACUCCAUAAUUGUUGAUGUAUGCCAGGGACAAUACAAGUCAACUUUGGUUUGUCCAGUUUGCAAUAAAGUUUCUGUAACAUUUGAUCCUUUUAUGUACCUUUCCCUUCCACUCCAGUCCACCACCACCAGGACCAUGACAGUGACAGUUUUUGCUUGUGAUGGGAAUGCCCUUCCAUCUCCAUGCACAGUAACUGUCCCUAAGCAGGGACGAUGCAGAGAUCUCAUCCAGGCACUUAGCAAUGCUUGCUCAUUGAAGCAUAAUGAGAGGCUAUUGCUUGUGGAGAUAAGAAACCAUUUGAUCCAUAGAUAUUAUGAAGAUCCUCUUCUAUUGUUAUCUAGUAUCAAAGAUGAUGACCGUCUUGCUGCUUACAAGAUUCCAAAGAUAGACAAGAACACAAAAUAUCUCCAGUUGAUACAUCGUCGAAGAGAGCAGAGUAGUGACUCACACAUCAUAUCUGGAUGGAAACCAUAUGGAACACCUAUUGUUUCAUUGAUUUCAUGUGAUGAUACAGUCACAAGAGGUGAUAUACAAGUUAUAGUUAAUCGUAUUCUCUCUCCUCUGCUAAGGAAAGGUAGCAAUGUAGAACAAGCUACUAAUUCUGAAGCAAGCAUCCAAAAAGCUGCAUCUGAUCAAUCCAGUUUUACUUCUGAUGAUGCAUAUGCUGCCAACAUGGUGUCAAAUUCAGUAAAUAAGGAUUCUACCAAUUCAAAGUCAUCACCAAUGCCAACAUUACCUCUUCUCUUGGUAGAUGAUAACAAUGCUUGCAUUGAUCUUUCAAUGGGAGAGGAGAAAGUAGUUAAACUGUCACCUUCGUCAUCAAAAGUAUUAGUGUAUAUUGAUUGGUCUCAGAAGCUUCUGGAGAAGUAUGAUACUCAUCCACUUGAGACUUUGCCUGAAAUUUUAAAAUAUGGGCCUGUAACCAAGAAAGCUCGUACUGAACCUCUCUCCUUGUACACCUGCUUGGAAGCUUUCCUGCGUGAAGAACCUCUGGUGCCUGAAGAUAUGUGGUACUGUCCUAAAUGCAAAGAGAGACGACAAGCAAGCAAGAAGCUUGAUUUGUGGAGGCUCCCAGAGGUUUUGGUCAUUCAUUUGAAGAGGUUCUCAUACAGCAGGUCAAUGAAGCACAAACUGGAGACUUUUGUUAACUUUCCCAUUCAUGAUUUUGAUUUAACUAAUUACAUAGCCAACAAAAACAACUCUCGCCGUCAACUGUAUGAACUAUAUGCCCUGACAAAUCAUUAUGGUAGUAUGGGUAGCGGGCAUUACACUGCACAUAUCAAGCUUUUAGAUGAGAACAGAUGGUACAAUUUUGAUGACAGCCACAUAUCACCCAUAAGUGAAGAUGAGGUCAACACUGCUGCUGCCUAUGUUCUAUUUUACCGGAGGGUGAAGACUGAUGAUGCAACUGUUAGUAACGGGGCUUAGUCUUUCAUGUUGGCAGUUUUAUGUAUAAAGUAGAUGUCAAGAACAUACCUGGUUAUUCCAGAAAAGUUUUAGGAAGAGGCUUUGUAGGUGAAACUAAUGACGGAGUUAUUGACAACACAUAACAAGUGACUCUGGUGUGGCCUGAAAGAGAGGGUUCUACAUUUGGGUCCAUCUGAUGCCUUCCUCUUAUUUCAGUAUUAGAGAUCCAAAUGGUUUAAGCAUGCUGUGGGAUGUAGUUGUCAUGGAUUUUCGAUGUAUUUGGAGUUUUCUUUUUUGCGUAUAUGAAGUCCCAGUCGCAUCAUUGUGACAUUCCUCAAUUGUAAGAGUCAACAACGUUUAGCAUAGGUUGGAUUUAGCAACUAAUUCAUCAAUUGUAGCUGUUUACUACUCUACUUGAUGAAUUUGGACUAAUGUAAAAUUCAAAACUGAACAAUAGUAAUGGUGGUAAAU
This is an RNA transcript of Cajanus cajan (pigeon pea), 3462 nucleotides long. It is a transcript of the gene named ubiquitin-specific protease 5, with no coding region annotated. The record is from RefSeq and is a predicted model, not a curated record. NCBI's taxonomy places the organism in Eukaryota, Viridiplantae, Streptophyta, Magnoliopsida, Fabales, Fabaceae.